Molecule: unclassified non-coding RNA, 336 nt
Filed under: soil metagenome
Description: partial contains 5.8S ribosomal RNA, internal transcribed spacer 2, and large subunit ribosomal RNA
Rfam family: 5.8S ribosomal RNA (bases 1-120)
Source: RNAcentral
GAUGAAGAACGCAGCGAAAUGCGAUAAGUAGUGUGAAUUGCAGAAUUCAGUGAAUCAUCGAAUCUUUGAACGCACAUUGCGCCCCUUGGUAUUCCAUGGGGCUUGCCUGUUCGAGCGUCAUUUGUACCUUCAAGCUUUGCUUGGUGUUGGGUGUUUGUCUCGCCUUUGCGUGUAGACUCGCCUUAAAAUAAUUGGCAGCCGGCGUAUUGAUUUCGGAGCGCAGUACAUCUCGCGCUUUGCACUCAUAACGACAGCGUCCAAAAGUACAUUUUACACUCUUGACCUCGGAUCAGGUAGGGAUACCCGCUGAACUUAAGCAUAUCAAUAAGCGGAGGA